AAUUGGUACAAAUUACAUCACGCUGCCAACAAAAUGGGCCAGUCGAUUUGCAGUGCUGCAAUCAAUGAAAGCCUGACAGGCAGAGACGUCUGCUUUACACACACACACACACACACACACACACACACACAAAAACUGAUAGGCCUGCGUGUUUUGGAAGGUUAGCCUUUAUGGCGAUUUUAAUGGUCAGGAGCACUUGGUUAAUUAAAAAUAAUAAUAAUUAAAUGGCACCAAUGUAUCAGUUUGAACUCAGUUUUAAAUGGCCUGAUAUAUUGCAGCCACAAACACACAGCAGGCAUUAUUAAACAUGGACAUCAAAACCAUAGGCACGUAGUCAUUGACACACACAAUAGAUUUUUCUUGCAAUUCUUACAUAUAAACUUCAAUGGGAGAAAGGAUGUUUGACAGUUCUAUUUUUUACUUUUUAUGAUGAAUGUCGUUUUAGAAGCCAGCAGCACCAAUGUGUCGGCGGAAGCAUCACUUAACUGACGACCGAAGUCAGCCUGCACAAGGAGUCGCUAGAGCGCAAUGAGCCAAGUAAAGCCCACCCAGCCAAACCUUCCCCUAACCUGGACAACGCUGGGCCAAUUGUGCACCACUCUAUGGGACUCCCGGUCACGGCCAGUUGUGACACUGCCUGGGAUCAAACCCGGGUCUGUAGUGACACCUCAAGCACUGCGACGCAGUGCCUUAGAGCGCUGCUCCACUCUGGAGAGCAUCUUAUAAUCUUAACUCAUUUAAAUAUGUAACGCCUCAAAACCGUCAUCACGUGCGCAUUAUAUGGCUUUGUUUACGAACUGUAAGAUAGCUCAAGCAAACUAAACCCUUUUCAUGUGUUGUGCCUUUUAGCUAGCUAGCUACUGUACUUACCAGCAUGGCAGAAAAAGCACAAUGUUGUGACUGGAUGCCAUAGCGUUCAUUUAAAAAGUUACACUAUUUUCCGAAGAAUUAACAUUUGACAGCAGUGGCUGCUUUUCAUUUCAGGCUCCACUGAAAAUUACGAUCAUGUUAGUGCAGUGUACAUUUAGAGCGAAGUUGCUUUAUAAACUGGUGAGGACAUUCGAUAGGUCUUGCCAGGAAGCUAAACCUGAAGACUGACGCUGUGCCAUUAUUGACAGUGGAUCUUGCAAGGGCUGACCAUAAUCUUCCCAGGCAAACACACCAGCAGGAAUGCUGUGAUACAAAAUCAGUUUUCCCAAGGCAAAGAAGACGGGAUAUGCUGAGAAGCCUGUGACAACAGACCAAACAUACUGCUACGUAGAAGGGCUCCUGGAUCUCCUCCCCAGCGAGGUCACCCUUGAUCCAGCACCGUAUGUGGGGAAGCUGUGCGAGCUGCCCAUCACAGGACGCCUGUCUGCCCAGUGUGAGAGGCCUGACAAGGAGGAGGCCACAGCUGGAUUUGUCUCCUGCUUUCAUCUUGGGGAAGACUGAAGCCAAGUGGGUGACUGAAUUCAAGUAAGUGACUAAAGUCUGCUUGAUUGAUGCGGGGUACCUGGGUCUCCCUCCUCUGCAGCUCCUCUCACCAUCAAUCUCUGUAGUUGGCUGCAAUACCUAAAGUCUGAGUAAUUCACUUUUACUUGAUAUCAAAUAUUGUUACUUUGUAUUGUUAUUUUCAAGCAUUCUGAUGGGAGAUGAGUGGCUCAAAAUGGCUUUUUUUUUGUCAUAUGAUGUCUCACCAUUAUUUCUCAUGAGUGUUCAUGUUGAUAAAUAUUUUGUCUAUGCUGACCUAAUGUAAAUGAUCAAAUAAAUGUCCCAUAAAUACAUAAUUCUGAACAUAUUGUCAUUGAUGAUGCUAAUGCAGAGGCACCAAUACAUUUUCUAGUACACUUAUGUUAUGCUGUUUUCAUGUAUAUUCCCAUAUGUCUGUCUAAGCUGACUCAGAGUGUAUUCAUUAUGGUGAAGAAUCAGUGAACUGUAUUCUGUAAUUAGUUACAAAACAAUACAAAUAUAAUUGCUGCGGUUUGUCUCAUAUCCAACAGUCUUUGAUCAGCUCUGUUGACCAUGAGAGCAUUUUGCAGAGAAAAAGGGUUGAGGUAUACCAUUUAGGCUCGGAAUGACAUGUAGCCCAUAGUUUACCUGGAUAUCAAUGAUGUGGCUCAUUGUUUACCUUGUUAACUGGCAACGACCACAAGGGUGUUUCAAAGAGCCGUCAGUCAAGGUGAGCUCAUGAAUAUAAGCUCCCUGCCCAUUCAGCCUGUUUUGUCAGGUUUCCUGAUAGAGAUGAUAGAAAAUGUACAAGUUAUUCAAUUCUGAGAAUUUUAAUAGCGUAAAAAUAUGGGUGAUUUUAGUCAUUCAAAGGCUAUUUUUACUUGGGCAAUGACUGGUGCAAAACCUCUAAUACUUAAUACAUUAAUGUGAAAACCUUCACAAUAUUGAGUUGCAGCACCUUUUUCCCUCAGAACAGACUAUAUUCAUUGGGGCAUGGACAAGGUGUCAAAAGCAUUCCACAGGGAUACUGGUGGCCCAUGUUGACUCCAAUGCUUCCCAGAACUGUGUCAAGUUGGCUGGAUGUCCUUUGGGCGGUGGACCAUUCUUGAUACACACGGAAAACUGUAGAAAAACCCAGCAGGGUUGCAGUUCUUGACACAAACCGGUGCGCCUGGCAUCCUUCAAAGGGCACUUAAGUUUUUUUGUCUUGCCCAUUCACCCUCUGAAUGGCACACAUACAAUACAUGUCUCAAUUGUCUCAAGGGAAAACAAUCAUUCUUUAACCAGUCUUCUCCCCUUCAUAUUUAAAAAAAACUUUUUUCUUAUUUUUCUUAAAACUGCAUUGUUGGUUCAGGAAUACCUGCUGUAUUCAGCGCAUGUGCCAAAUAACAUUUUAUUUCAUCUACACUGAUUGAAGUGGAUUUAGCAAGUGACAUCAAUAAAAGAUCAUCGCUUUCACCUGGAUUCACCUGGUCAGUCUAUGUCAAUGUUUUGUACACUCAGUGUACAUUUCAGAAUCGAGACGUACUCCAUGUGUUAAGAGGAUUCUAUAAAGGCGGCCGCAUGCUUUCCAGACUAAACCGUUUGUGCAUACAGAACAUUCAGAAAGUAUACAGAGCCCUUAACUUAUUCUAAAAUUGAUUCAAUUGUUUUCCCCCCUCAUCAAUCUACACACAAUACCCCAUAACGACAUAGCAAAAACAGGUGUUUAGACAUUUUUGUAAAUGUAUUUACAUAAGGAUUCAGAGCCUUUACUCAGUACUUUGUUGAAGCUCCUUUGCAGUGAUUACAGCCUCAAAUCUUCUUGGGUAUGACGCUACAAGCUUGGCACACCUGUAUUUGGGGAGUUUCUUCCAUUCCAGUGCCUCUCAAGCUCGGUCAGGUUGGAUGGGGAGUGUCGCUGCACAGCUUUUUUCAGGUCUCUCCAGAGAUUUUUGACAGUGUUUGGCUGGGCCACUAAAGGACAUUCAGAGACUUGUCCCGGAGCAUAGGGUCGUUGUCCUGUUGGAAGGUAAACCUUGGUCCCCAGUCUGAGGUCCUGAGCGCUCCGUUUAUAUCAAGGCUCUCUCAGCAUCCUAAAUGAGAUGCUCAAACUCACUAGUGCAAAAUGUCAAUUGGCUAUAUUAAAACUGUUUAAUUUGAUCCUGAGUGUAGGUUAUUUCCCUGACAUCUGGAAUCAAGGACUCAUAGCCCCAAUCUUUAAGAACGGAAACAAAUUUGACCCCAAAC
Long non-coding RNA from Oncorhynchus tshawytscha (Chinook salmon), 3657 nucleotides. Lineage: Eukaryota; Metazoa; Chordata; Actinopteri; Salmoniformes; Salmonidae. The record is from Ensembl.